Panicum virgatum (switchgrass) is the source of this 1237-nucleotide long non-coding RNA. RefSeq lists it as uncharacterized. The record is from RefSeq and is a predicted model, not a curated record. Lineage: Eukaryota; Viridiplantae; Streptophyta; Magnoliopsida; Poales; Poaceae. The transcript is spliced from 3 exons.
CGCAUUUUGUCUCGUGCUUAGCAGCUCGCUUUGUUGCUAAGCUGGAACCUGCUGAUUUGUAGUUCCUUAUUGUGGGUUCUUUUCUCUUCGUGUUCCCCUCUUCCCGCCUUACUUUUCGAUCUUCAGAUGCCAAUACUUUUUUGUACUUUCGUUUCAUUUUGCAGGUUUCGUUCGGAUUCAAAGAGGGUUCUUGUUUCCAUACAUGCAAGCGUUGUUCUGCGCCGUUCGUUUGCUGCGCUUGAGGCUUUUUGGAUUGGGCUCUUGGUUCUUUUGAACGUUUCCUCUUGCUUCUGGGCAUCCUCACGGGCAACGGGGGGAAAGAUUCCCCACCUAAUUUUCCAUUAGAGGGGCUCUGAAGCCAGAUAACACAACAGUUUAGAUGUUCUAAGGGGUGUAGAUCAUUGCUAGCGUAUUACAUGGGAGAAAGGAGUGUACAACAGGACUCAACAACCGCCGCGUCUUCUCUGGGCAGGUGCCACGCCCACAAUCUUGCAUCUUCACGGCAGUUGUUUAAGAGUAGCAGCAACGAAGGGGCGAUGUCGUCGAAGACCACCCGGUUUCUGUGCUUCCAGAUGUUCCAGCAGCAUAGGAAGAAGAAGACUGAGCCAUGGUUGGCAGGAACAGAGCUUGAGUUUGCCAUGGAGUGUAGCCUGUCAACUGACAUCGGUGGAUCCAGCACCACGCCAACAUGCUGCCAAAGAGACGCUGCAACUGGGCAGGCGAAGAUGAGAUGAUCCACUAUCUCCGGUUGAUUCUUGCACAACUCACAGGUGGCAUCAGCAAUGAUGGACUUCUUGAGGAGGUUGCUGCGGCUUUGAAUGUGUCAUUGAACAAGGAGCCAGACGAAGAAUUGGACUCUUGGAGGAGCGCGAUUCUUCCAGACGAAGUUAGAGCAGACGCUUCUAGGCAUGUGAGCGGCCAUAAGCACCUUGUACAGGGAGGAGGUGUCCAGGCCGCCAUCCGCCUUCUGGAACGCACAGACCCGCACGUCGUCACCAUGUCGGAGACGUACCGGAGCGAGGAGCAGCGCAAGCUUGGCGCGUUCUUCAGUAGCCGCCCUAGUACACCUUGUUCGGAGGAGGUUGUCAACUCCGCGUUGCAGGGCCUACUCGACGCCCUAUUUGCUCCAUUCCACUGCAUCCAGAUUGUCUUUUCUACCUUUGGCGAACAAGUUCAAUUUUUUCUUGUUCUCGUAUGUUUAUUUCCCUAUUAGAUCUCAGCAUUCCUGCACUUCGAC